Molecule: ribosomal RNA, 254 nt
Filed under: uncultured Acinetobacter sp.
Lineage: Bacteria; Pseudomonadati; Pseudomonadota; Gammaproteobacteria; Moraxellales; Moraxellaceae
Description: partial 16S ribosomal RNA
Rfam family: Bacterial small subunit ribosomal RNA
Source: RNAcentral
UACGAAGGGUGCAAGCGUUAAUCGGAUUUACUGGGCGUAAAGCGCGCGUAGGUGGCCAAUUAAGUCAAAUGUGAAAUCCCCGAGCUUAACUUGGGAAUUGCAUUCGAUACUGGGAAAGCUAGAGUAUGGGAGAGGAUGGUAGAAUUCCAGGUGUAGCGGUGAAAUGCGUAGAGAUCUGGAGGAAUACCGAUGGCGAAGGCAGCCAUCUGGCCUAAUACUGACGCUGAGGUACGAAAGCAUGGGGAGCAAACAGG